Dreissena polymorpha is the source of this 432-nucleotide long non-coding RNA. RefSeq lists it as uncharacterized. The record is from RefSeq and is a predicted model, not a curated record. The transcript has 4 exons. Lineage: Eukaryota; Metazoa; Mollusca; Bivalvia; Myida; Dreissenidae.
AUUUAUUCUGUUUAACUCAAGGCGCUUUAAAUUGUAAACAACAGUGUAAAACAAUAUGGACUCGAGGAGGAUAACUUAUGUAAAAUAAACGCGAUCAGUUUUCUCUCGCUCUUAACAGUGACACGGAUAUUUGUGCUGAGUGAUGAACUCGAAGAUGUUUCUUCAAUUGCUGUUUGCCCUGGGAUUUGUCGGCAGCAGUUUUGCUUGUCGCUGCCUUCCAAAGACUCAGGAUGAACGCUUCUGUGAAGGAAACUUCGCUGCAAUCAUCUACGUAGAAGGAAGAGAUGUGGUCGGCCUUGAAAGGGUGUACAACAUUGACAUAAUCGCGAUAUUGAGAGGAAACAUGCAACAAGCGGACGAGCGACAUCUGAAAGGUGCCACACAUAGUUGUGGGGUUACCUUUGAAGUUAACAAGUACUACGUUAUUUCGGG